This 318-nucleotide unclassified non-coding RNA is filed under the name uncultured bacterium. RNAcentral describes it as "partial 16S-23S ribosomal RNA intergenic spacer region". The record is from RNAcentral.
CGCUGGAACUCCUUUCUAGGAGAUCGACUGUCCUAGCAAUAGGACGUCUAUCCUAGGUAACACAGUCAUCGAUUGGUCACUUCUCUGUCACUAUUCAGCUUUGAGAGAGUUUGUCCGCCGUAGCCGUAAGGCGAAGGCGGAUCCGUUUUCUCUGCUCUUUGACAACUGAAUAUCGAAAUUAGAUCAAGAACAAAAGCAAGCACAAGUUCAUAGGAUUCUUACUGCACGCAAUGGAGUUGUCUCUGUGUGGUUUUGCCACGUAGAGAGUCGAAGUUGAGUUAGUAAGCUACUAAGGGCGCAUGGUGGACGCCUUGGCAA